This 301-nucleotide unclassified non-coding RNA is filed under the name Rhizophagus sp. (in: glomeromycetes). Its description in RNAcentral is "partial internal transcribed spacer 2". The stretch from base 1 to 71 matches the Rfam family "5.8S ribosomal RNA", at positions 84 to 154 of the family's 154-position model. The record is from RNAcentral. Lineage: Eukaryota; Fungi; Glomeromycota; Glomeromycetes; Glomerales; Glomeraceae.
GUGAAUCAUCAAAUUUUUGAACGCAAAUUGUGCUUCCUGGCAGCCCGGUAAGUAUGCCUGUUUCAGGGUCAGUAUUAAUAAAAAAUCGGUUUGUUUACAAAUUGUUACGGUUCCGGAGUUUUGGCUAUCUUAACAUUUUUGGUUAAGAGGCUUAUAAUUGACCUUUUUUGCGCAUUUUUAGACGUACAUAAAUUUUUUUUUAUUUGUCUAUUCUGAAUGCCAAAAUCUUAUUAUAUGCGAUCACAUCGUGUGGUUUCGUGUCCAUAAAAUUUUUAUUAUUUGACCUCAAAUCAGUUAGGAG